CAAUAGCGUAUAUUAAAGUUGUUGCGGUUAAAAAGCUCGUAGUUGGAUUUCUGUUGAGGACGGCCGGUCCGCACUAUGUGCGUGUAUCUGGUUCGGCCUCGGCAUCCUCUCGAAAGCCGUUUCUGCGCUUGAUUGCGUGGUUCGGACUUCGGGACUUUUACUUUGAGGAAAUUAGAGUGUUCACGGCAGGCAAGCGCCUUGAAUAUAUUAGCAUGGAAUAAUAAUAUAGGAUCUUGGUCCUAUUUUGUUGGUUUCUAGGGCUAAGAUAAUGAUUAAUAGGGACAAUUGGGGGCAUUCGUAUUAACGCGCCAGAGGUGGAAUUCUUGGAUUGCGUUACGACGAACUACUGCGAAAGCAUUUGCCAAGGAUGUUUUCAUUGA
This 380-nucleotide ribosomal RNA is filed under the name uncultured eukaryote. RNAcentral's name for it is "partial 18S ribosomal RNA". It matches the Rfam family "Eukaryotic small subunit ribosomal RNA", at positions 592 to 976 of the family's 1831-position model. The record is from RNAcentral.